RNAcentral lists this ribosomal RNA (887 nucleotides) under uncultured Staphylococcus sp. Its description in RNAcentral is "bacterial SSU rRNA". It matches the Rfam family "Bacterial small subunit ribosomal RNA", at positions 28 to 896 of the family's 1533-position model. Lineage: Bacteria; Bacillati; Bacillota; Bacilli; Caryophanales; Staphylococcaceae. The record is from RNAcentral.
GAUGAACGCUGGCGGCGUGCCUAAUACAUGCAAGUCGAGCGAACGGACGAGAAGCUUGCUUCUCUGAUGUUAGCGGCGGACGGGUGAGUAACACGUGGAUAACCUACCUAUAAGACUGGGAUAACUUCGGGAAACCGGAGCUAAUACCGGAUAAUAUUUUGAACCGCAUGGUUCAAAAGUGAAAGACGGUCUUGCUGUCACUUAUAGAUGGAUCCGCGCUGCAUUAGCUAGUUGGUAAGGUAACGGCUUACCAAGGCAACGAUGCAUAGCCGACCUGAGAGGGUGAUCGGCCACACUGGAACUGAGACACGGUCCAGACUCCUACGGGAGGCAGCAGUAGGGAAUCUUCCGCAAUGGGCGCAAGCCUGACGGAGCAACGCCGCGUGAGUGAUGAAGGUCUUCGGAUCGUAAAACUCUGUUAUUAGGGAAGAACAUAUGUGUAAGUAACUGUGCACAUCUUGACGGUACCUAAUCAGAAAGCCACGGCUAACUACGUGCCAGCAGCCGCGGUAAUACGUAGGUGGCAAGCGUUAUCCGGAAUUAUUGGGCGUAAAGCGCGCGUAGGCGGUUUUUUAAGUCUGAUGUGAAAGCCCACGGCUCAACCGUGGAGGGUCAUUGGAAACUGGAAAACUUGAGUGCAGAAGAGGAAAGUGGAAUUCCAUGUGUAGCGGUGAAAUGCGCAGAGAUAUGGAGGAACACCAGUGGCGAAGGCGACUUUCUGGUCUGUAACUGACGCUGAUGUGCGAAAGCGUGGGGAUCAAACAGGAUUAGAUACCCUGGUAGUCCACGCCGUAAACGAUGAGUGCUAAGUGUUAGGGGGUUUCCGCCCCUUAGUGCUGCAGCUAACGCAUUAAGCACUCCGCCUGGGGAGUACGACCGCCAGGGUG